UGGUGGAGUGAUUUGUCUGGUUAAUUCCGUUAACGAACGAGACCUCGGCCUGCUAAAUAGUUUAGCGAAUCCUCCGGGAUUCGAUUAUUUAACUUCUUAGAGGGACUAUCGGUGAUUUAGCCGAUGGAAGUUCGAGGCAAUAACA
This 145-nucleotide ribosomal RNA is filed under the name uncultured eukaryote. RNAcentral's name for it is "partial 18S ribosomal RNA". It matches the Rfam family "Eukaryotic small subunit ribosomal RNA", at positions 1299 to 1458 of the family's 1831-position model. The record is from RNAcentral.